UGUAACACCAGUAAAUCUUCCCUGAGGUCAGUCUCUUCUCUGAGGUCAGUCUCUGUCUGUAAUACCAGUAAAUCUUCCCUGAGGUCAGUCUCUGUCUGUAACACCAGUAAAUCUUUCCUGAGGUCAGUCUCUUCCCUGAGGUCAGUCUCUGUAUUUAACACCCUUAUAUCUUCCCUGAGGUCAGUAUCUUCCCUGAGGUCAGUAUCUUCCCUGAGGUCAGUCUCUUCCCUGAGGUCAGUCUCUGUCUGUAACAUCAGUAAAUCUUCCCUGAGGUCAGUCUCUGUAUGUAACACCAGUAAAUCUUCCCUGAGGUCAGUCUCUUCCCUGAGGUCAGUCUCUGUCUGUAAAACCAGAAAUCUUCCCUGAGGUCAGUCUCUUCCCUGAGGUCAGUCUCUUCCCUGAGGUCAGUCUCUGUCUGUAACACCAGUAAAUCUUCCCUGAGGUCAGUCUCUGUAUGUAACACCAGUAAAUCUUCCCUGAGGUCAGUCUCUUCCCUGAGGUCAGUCUCUGUCUGUAACACCAGUAAAUCUUUCCUGAGGUCAGUCUCUUCCCUGAGGUCAGUCUCUGUAUUUAACACCCUUAUAUCUUCCCUGAGGUCAGUCUCUUCCCUGAGGUCAGUCUCUUCCCUGAGGUCAGUCUCUUCCCUGAGGUCAGUCUCUUCCCUGAGGUCAGUCUCUGUA
Oncorhynchus tshawytscha (Chinook salmon) is the source of this 680-nucleotide long non-coding RNA. The record is from Ensembl. Lineage: Eukaryota; Metazoa; Chordata; Actinopteri; Salmoniformes; Salmonidae.